AAAUUGAAGAGUUUGAUCAUGGCUCAGAUUGAACGCUGGCGGCAGGCCUAACACAUGCAAGUCGAGCGGUAGCACAGAGAGCUUGCUCUCGGGUGACGAGCGGCGGACGGGUGAGUAAUGUCUGGGAAACUGCCUGAUGGAGGGGGAUAACUACUGGAAACGGUAGCUAAUACCGCAUAAUGUCGCAAGACCAAAGUGGGGGACCUUCGGGCCUCAUGCCAUCAGAUGUGCCCAGAUGGGAUUAGCUAGUAGGUGGGGUAACGGCUCACCUAGGCGACGAUCCCUAGCUGGUCUGAGAGGAUGACCAGCCACACUGGAACUGAGACACGGUCCAGACUCCUACGGGAGGCAGCAGUGGGGAAUAUUGCACAAUGGGCGCAAGCCUGAUGCAGCCAUGCCGCGUGUGUGAAGAAGGCCUUCGGGUUGUAAAGCACUUUCAGCGGGGAGGAAGGCGUUAAGGUUAAUAACCUUGGCGAUUGACGUUACCCGCAGAAGAAGCACCGGCUAACUCCGUGCCAGCAGCCGCGGUAAUACGGAGGGUGCAAGCGUUAAUCGGAAUUACUGGGCGUAAAGCGCACGCAGGCGGUCUGUCAAGUCGGAUGUGAAAUCCCCGGGCUCAACCUGGGAACUGCAUUCGAAACUGGCAGGCUAGAGUCUUGUAGAGGGGGGUAGAAUUCCAGGUGUAGCGGUGAAAUGCGUAGAGAUCUGGAGGAAUACCGGUGGCGAAGGCGGCCCCCUGGACAAAGACUGACGCUCAGGUGCGAAAGCGUGGGGAGCAAACAGGAUUAGAUACCCUGGUAGUCCACGCCGUAAACGAUGUCGAUUUGGAGGUUGUGCCCUUGAGGCGUGGCUUCCGGAGCUAACGCGUUAAAUCGACCGCCUGGGGAGUACGGCCGCAAGGUUAAAACUCAAAUGAAUUGACGGGGGCCCGCACAAGCGGUGGAGCAUGUGGUUUAAUUCGAUGCAACGCGAAGAACCUUACCUGGUCUUGACAUCCACAGAACUUUCCAGAGAUGGAUUGGUGCCUUCGGGAACUGUGAGACAGGUGCUGCAUGGCUGUCGUCAGCUCGUGUUGUGAAAUGUUGGGUUAAGUCCCGCAACGAGCGCAACCCUUAUCCUUUGUUGCCAGCGGU
This 1133-nucleotide ribosomal RNA is filed under the name Klebsiella pneumoniae. Its description in RNAcentral is "bacterial SSU rRNA". It matches the Rfam family "Bacterial small subunit ribosomal RNA", at positions 1 to 1125 of the family's 1533-position model. RNAcentral also lists the same sequence under 2 other names. Lineage: Bacteria; Pseudomonadati; Pseudomonadota; Gammaproteobacteria; Enterobacterales; Enterobacteriaceae. The record is from RNAcentral.